RNAcentral lists this long non-coding RNA (1547 nucleotides) under Apis florea (little honeybee). RNAcentral describes it as "uncharacterized LOC105737343". The record is from RNAcentral. Lineage: Eukaryota; Metazoa; Arthropoda; Insecta; Hymenoptera; Apidae.
UUUACAACUAUCGUUAUACCUCUCUCACGAUCUACACGUAUCUGGCAACGUGUGAAUGAAACGACGAAUAUCUUAGGACGAGGAAGAUCGAAGAGAAAAAGAAGGUGUCGCGUGACGCGUCCACGACGCACGUAUCUCGCAAAGAACGACGUGCCUCGCGAUGAUUCACGCUUGGUAGGACGACGCAGGUGGAACGUACGAGCGCGCACGUCCUCUCGAGAGGAGCGGCGAGGCUCGUACGCGGCGUCGAUGACGACGCCGAUCAGCACGACGACCGAGAUGGAAACAGUCUAGGGUAUCAUCGUCUAUAAAUACUCUAAUAGCCUCGGGCAAGGACGUCGUUGGUUACGGAGGAUGAUCCUAGACGACGUUGGCUUCGCCGCGAUGGUGCUGACCUCUUCGAGCGGAUCGACGCGCGCCCAUUGGACGCCUGCUCUCCGCUAAUUGGCGUGUACGGUUGUGCGGUGGAACAAGAAUCUCUCCAGGGACCUUUGAUAAUCAGAGGUAUUAGCUGGAGGAUUUUAGAAUCCGUGUGUAAAGGAUGGCUUGUGGGGAAGCGGCGUAGUAUUAUCGAAGCGGAUAAUGAGCUCUGAAGAAUAUGUGGAAAGAGAGGAAGAAACCCGUGACCAGUCUUGGGUUUCAAACAGUAUUCGAGAUUGAGGAAUAACGGAUCAAUUCCGGCAAUUCAUAUUUCCGGUUGUGAUGGAGCGAUGCGAUAGAGAAAGAAGAUGGGAUUCGUCUUCGUCGAUGAUAUUUGAUUUCCAUGUUUCACAAAGAAUAUUCUCUUUAAAUGGUAACCAAGAUAUUUCAACAACGAUUCCUCGGAAAUGUUGAUUUAUCCAUCAUCGAUGAAACGUUCCUUCACCAAUCGUUCAAUACUUUCUUCCCAAAUGUCGUUAAAGUAAUUAAAUGAAAUCAAAGAUAGAUAAAAUAUCGAUAGGCAAAAGAACUACGCGAAUUAAAGUUCAAAAUCGGUGAAUUACUUCGAACGAUUACUAUCAUCAGCUUAUUAUAGUUGACGUAAUGGGCUAUGUUUCAUUCGCGAUAACAACCAACAACAAUAAGAACACGAGUUAGAGGCCUCCACACGCUCUUUUACCAGGAUAUUUAAGAUCUUUUAUUACCAUUGGAUGAUCGGUGGUUCUCGAUCGGAGCUUAGAUAUGUUAAUUUGUUUAAAUUUGCAUCUUUAUCAUCGUAAACAUAAUAAACUGAAGAAAUAUAUUGAACUUGAUUAGAUUCGUUAAAGAAGAUUCGAAUGGAAGGAGCAUUUAUUGCGCCUCGGAAAGGAAAUGUAGACAGUGGAUCUACUGAAUCAAUCGGCUGAUCCUUAUUUUCUAAAUCUGCGAAACAGCGGAGGAGAAUUCCAUUGAAAUCUUUUCGACCAUCAUCGAUCAAGCGUAAUUGGGGGGAGGGGGGAACGAAGCGAUGAACGUUGGAGGAAGCAAGGGAUCGAUUAGUCUGUGAUUGAGUUACAGGAAGGCAGUCGUUUAUUGGCAUAAUCGAUACCUUAUCGGUAUCUAAUAAAUACAUCCUUGGGAAACCUCGA